GAGUUUGAUUAUGGCUCAGAUUGAACGCUGGCGGCAGGCCUAACACAUGCAAGUCGAACGGUAACAUUUCUAGCUUGCUAGAAGAUGACGAGUGGCGGACGGGUGAGUAAUGCUUGGGAACUUGCCUUUGCGAGGGGGAUAACAGUUGGAAACGACUGCUAAUACCGCAUAAUGUCUUCGGACCAAACGGGGCUUCGGCUCCGGCGCAAAGAGAGGCCCAAGUGAGAUUAGCUAGUUGGUAAGGUAACGGCUUACCAAGGCGACGAUCUCUAGCUGUUCUGAGAGGAAGAUCAGCCACACUGGGACUGAGACACGGCCCAGACUCCUACGGGAGGCAGCAGUGGGGAAUAUUGCACAAUGGGGGAAACCCUGAUGCAGCCAUGCCGCGUGUGUGAAGAAGGCCUUCGGGUUGUAAAGCACUUUCAGUUGUGAGGAAAAGUUAGUAGUUAAUACCUGCUAGCCGUGACGUUAACAACAGAAGAAGCACCGGCUAACUCCGUGCCAGCAGCCGCGGUAAUACGGAGGGUGCGAGCGUUAAUCGGAAUUACUGGGCGUAAAGCGCACGCAGCGGUUUGUUAAGCUAGAUGUGAAAGCCC
This 596-nucleotide ribosomal RNA is filed under the name uncultured Gammaproteobacteria bacterium. RNAcentral describes it as "bacterial SSU rRNA". It matches the Rfam family "Bacterial small subunit ribosomal RNA", at positions 9 to 603 of the family's 1533-position model. The record is from RNAcentral. Lineage: Bacteria; Pseudomonadati; Pseudomonadota; Gammaproteobacteria.